Molecule: ribosomal RNA, 144 nt
Filed under: uncultured eukaryote
Lineage: Eukaryota
Description: partial 18S ribosomal RNA
Rfam family: Eukaryotic small subunit ribosomal RNA
Source: RNAcentral
UGGUGGAGUGAUUUGUCUGGUUAAUUCCGUUAACGAACGAGACCUCGACCUGCUAAAUAGUUCGCUUCAAGCUUCGGCUUGAAGACGUUUGACUUCUUAGAGGGACUAUCGGUGUGUAGCCGAUGGAAGUUCGAGGCAAUAACA